Non-coding RNA from Thamnophis sirtalis, 432 nucleotides. Lineage: Eukaryota; Metazoa; Chordata; Lepidosauria; Squamata; Natricidae. The record is from the annotation of a RefSeq genome assembly.
AUGAACAGGGCUACACCCAGCAGUACAAAAUUUGUUCAAAGUUCAUUAGAUGGAGCAAAAGUGAUCCUGUGGCUAAACUUAGUGUCCAUACUAGCAGUCUUGACAGGUGCCAAAUCUCAGGUCCAAUUGGUGGAGUCUGGAGGGGAUGUGAGAAGCCCUGGGGAGUCCCUCCGUCUCCCCUGCCAAGCCUCUGGAUUCACCUUCAGCAGCUACUGGAUGGCUUGGGUGAGACAGGCUCCAGGGAAAGGACUGGAAUGGCUUUGCCAUAUACAUCCAACUUCAUCUAACAUUUACUACUCAGACAAAGUCAAGGGCCGCUUCACCAUCUCCAGGGACAAUGCCAAAAGCCAGCUGUAUCUGCAAAUGAACAACCUCAAAACUGAAGACACGGGAGUCUAUUACUGUGCGAGAGCACACAGUGAGAGGAAGUGA